Molecule: long non-coding RNA, 234 nt
Organism: Puntigrus tetrazona (Sumatra barb)
Lineage: Eukaryota; Metazoa; Chordata; Actinopteri; Cypriniformes; Cyprinidae
Exons: 4
Source: RefSeq, a predicted model, not a curated record
AUAAAGACAAGCCCAGGUUAUGGCACUCUGCUGAUAAGGGAGAGAUGGUGAUGUAGUCAUUUUUGGAGGAAGCCAGACCUACCUCUUUUUAAUAGAUUCGGUUGCAGUUCUCAGGUCUCCCUCUCAGAAUCACUGUGCAGAUUUACUGGUAUUCCAGACUCAACCAUACUCCCUGUCAAGAUUAUGUGAAGACUGCAUAGGAAAACAAAUAUUUUCUGUUCAAGAGCAGGCUUU